GGCAGCGACGGAGACCGCAGUGCACCGGAGCGCAGCCUUCUGAUGACAGACGGCCAACCCAGAGAAUCCAGGACAGCCCCCCAUCUUAGGAUCACUAAUUAAACCACAGUUGCAAAGUGUGUUUUUCCAGGGAUUAGAAUGUGGACAUCUGGCCGGGCAUAGUGGCUCAU
This is a long non-coding RNA of Nomascus leucogenys (northern white-cheeked gibbon), 170 nucleotides long. RefSeq lists it as uncharacterized. Lineage: Eukaryota; Metazoa; Chordata; Mammalia; Primates; Hylobatidae. The transcript has 3 exons. The record is from RefSeq and is a predicted model, not a curated record.